UACGUAGGGGGCUAGCGUUAUCCGGAAUUAUUGGGCGUAAAGGGUGCGUAGGCGGCCCUACAAGUCAGAGGUGAAAGGCUACGGCUCAACCGUAGUAAGCCUUUGAAACUGUAGGGCUUGAGUGCAGGAGAGGAGAGUGGAAUUCCCAGUGUAGCGGUGAAAUGCGUAGAUAUUGGGAGGAACACCAGUUGCGAAGGCGGCUCUCUGGACUGUAACUGACGCUGAGGCAC
This 230-nucleotide ribosomal RNA is filed under the name uncultured microorganism. Its description in RNAcentral is "partial 16S ribosomal RNA". It matches the Rfam family "Bacterial small subunit ribosomal RNA", at positions 524 to 754 of the family's 1533-position model. The record is from RNAcentral.